AUGAUAACAUUGGUUGUUCAAUCCAGAAAAAGAAAAAGAAGAGAAGCAAUUACGUAUGCCCCAAUUGAUGAGAGAGAUAGGAUGAGAAGAGAGUAUUUUGACAACAAAAUAUGGAAGAAUGACACAACUUGUGUGAACAUGCUUAGGCUUCGGAGAGAAUCUUUCUUUAGGUUUUGUCAACUGUUUAGGAAUCGCAACUUGCUAAAUGACACAAUACACUUGACUGUUGAGCAACAACUAGCAAUGUUUCUGCACACUGUUGGGCACAACAUUAGAAAUAGGGUAAUUGGCGCCAAUUUUGGUAGAUCCGGUGAAGUUGUGAGCCGUUACUUCAAAAGGGUAUUCCAUGCCAUUGGUGAGCUUCGAGAUGACCUUAUUAGGAAGUCUUCAUUGGAGACCCAAACCAAAAUAGAAGGAAACUACCGGUGGGAUCCAUACUUUAAGGUAUGUGAGACGGAGUGA
This 462-nucleotide ribosomal RNA is filed under the name Triticum aestivum (bread wheat). RNAcentral's name for it is "partial small subunit ribosomal RNA". Lineage: Eukaryota; Viridiplantae; Streptophyta; Magnoliopsida; Poales; Poaceae. The record is from RNAcentral.